Molecule: transfer-messenger RNA, 281 nt
Filed under: Synechococcus sp. SB0664_bin_36
Lineage: Bacteria; Bacillati; Cyanobacteriota; Cyanophyceae; Synechococcales; Synechococcaceae
Also listed under: 8 other names
Rfam family: Cyanobacteria transfer-messenger RNA
About the family: Bacterial tmRNA, also known as 10Sa RNA or SsrA, is named for its dual tRNA and mRNA-like properties. Its role is to liberate the mRNA from a stalled ribosome.
Source: RNAcentral
GUGCUAGUGUGAAGGGGUUCACAUGCUGUGAACUAGGUGGCUCACACCAGUGUUUCGGACAGCGGUUCGAUUCCGCUCAGCUCCAUUCUCCACGGGGCUGCAAUGGUUUCGACGGGGCAUGAGGAGGGUGACUGAAGCCUGCUCGGUCAGAGCAACUUCGUAACAGCGAACAACAUCGUUCGUUUCUCCCGCCAGGCCGCCCCUGUUGCUGCCUGAGCCCAAGGGAGAUGGGGCGAGGUCAGCCUUAUCAACAAAAUGACCCAUGGGGGCUGAGAGGCCCC